Molecule: ribosomal RNA, 427 nt
Filed under: uncultured bacterium
Lineage: Bacteria
Description: bacterial SSU rRNA
Rfam family: Bacterial small subunit ribosomal RNA
Source: RNAcentral
AACGAACGCUGGCGGCAUGCCUAACACAUGCAAGUCGAACGGGAUCCUAGCUUGCUAGGUGAGAGUGGCGGACGGGUGAGUAACACGUGGGAAUCUGCCUUUUGGUUCGGGAUAACCGCGGGAAACUGCGGCUAAUACCGAAUGCCCUCGAGAGAGGAAAGAUUUAUCGCCAGAAGAGGAGCCCGCGUCCGAUUAGGUAGUUGGUGGGGUAAAGGCCUACCAAGCCGACGAUCGGUAGCUGGUCUGAGAGGAUGAUCAGCCACACUGGGACUGAGAUACGGCCCAGACUCCUACGGGAGGCAGCAGUGGGGAAUAUUGGACAAUGGGGGCAACCCUGAUCCAGCCAUGCCGCGUGAGUGAAGAAGGCCUCGGUUGUAAGACGUCUUUCGUACGGGGACGGAUGAUGACGGUACCCGUACUAAGAAGA